GCAAAAGCUCAAAUUUGAAAUCUAGCACUUUCAGUGUUCGAGUUGUAAUUUGAAGAAGGUAACUUUCGAGUUGGCUCUUGUCUAUGUUCCUUGGAACAGGACGUCACAGAGGGUGAGAAUCCCGUGCGAUGAGAUGCCCAAUUCUUAGUAAAGUGCUUUCGAAGAGUCGAGUUGUUUGGGAAUGCAGCUCUAAGUGGGUGGUAAAUUCCAUCUAAAGCUAAAUAUUGGCGAGAGACCGAUAGCGAACAAGUACAGUGAUGGAAAGAUGAAAAGAACUUUGAAAAGAGAGUGAAAAAGUACGUGAAAUUGUUGAAAGGGAAGGGCUUGAGAUCAGACUUGGUAUUUUGUGUGCCUUUCCUUUUUGGUUGGGUUUCUGCAGCUUACUGGGCCAGCAUCGGUUUGGGUGGCAGGAU
Molecule: ribosomal RNA, 413 nt
Filed under: Debaryomycetaceae sp.
Lineage: Eukaryota; Fungi; Ascomycota; Pichiomycetes; Serinales; Debaryomycetaceae
Description: partial 28S ribosomal RNA
Rfam family: Eukaryotic large subunit ribosomal RNA
Source: RNAcentral